AAAUGGAACUGAAAAGAAAGAAUGUUGUCAAAAAAGAACAGAAGUUGGUGAUGUGAUCUGUGAAACAAUAUGAAGGAAUUCUUCUGGAAGUUCUGAGCUCUUAGAGGAGGGUGCUUGCUCUCCAAGACCUAGAGCAGAAUUAGAUCCUGAGAUGGGGAAGAAGACUUAGGUUAGAAGUCUGGCAAAUGAUAUGUAUUCAUUGUGGAGUUCUCCGAUUUUGUAAAGGAAGAAAGAUGCUUCCAAGACUCACUAGUUCUGCUCUUUUCUCCUCGGCGAUGAUGCAAUGUAAAGAAUCCUUCCGUAUCAAAUUUGCUUGGGUCUUUAGCAUCUGCACAAAAGAAAAAAAAGGAUAAAAAGGAAGGUUCAAUGAUGUGAUGAACAAAGACACAUCCAAAUUGGGAGGGGAAGUGUUCUUUGGAACCCAGGAAGAUUAGGAAUUCUAUCCAUUAGUCAUGAUGAUGCUCAUGAACUCAGCCACAGCUUCAACUUUGACAUGGAUAACUACAAAAUGAAUCUCAAUAUCCUGUGCUUUAGUGAACCAGGUAGUCAACUGAUAAUUACUGACUGUCUACCAUGUAGCUGCAAAGCACUAUGGUUGCUCUGGUGGAAGAUACAAGGAAGGUUCCUGCCCAUAAGGAUCUUGCCAUAUAAAAGGAUGAAGUGUAUCUCUAAAGAUGACUAACAAUAUAGUCUGUAGAGCGAAUUCAUCGAUUCAAGCUAUGAAAACCACUGGAGAAGUCAACAACAUGGAAUGUUUCAGUUUUUCCAUUUCUACCCCCGUCUUUUCCCACCAUUAUGGAACUUUUAAAGGGCACACAUCUGAAAAGCUAUGCUCUUCUCAACCCCAAAUAGUAAGAAAAAAAAUGUCACUUGCCACUCAUUUCCAGAAAGUAUCUUGCAUUCAUUAGCAUUCGGCCUUGAGGUUUCAGCUCUAACUGGUUGAGAGAAGGAAAGAAAGAUCAGUCAGAAGAGGAGACUGGGUUAAGCAUUUUAAAAGUAAAAGUGGGUUCUUUAGAGAAGACUUUUCAAUUCCCCAUGUUCCUUUUAUUCCUUAUCACCACUAGUAGUAGCAAUGGCCUGAAAUGCUUCUCUCUCACCAAGGACACCCAGAAUAACCCGAAAUUCGUGACUGCUUUUUGGAGGUUGAAAUCCAAAAGGAAGGAUGAUAUCAGGUUUUUAAGAGAACUUCACAGUGGUCUCCUUUGGCCUGACUCAGCCUUUCUUUCCUUUAAAUGUUUUUUUAUUUGAUGAGUACUACAGGUCAGAUCCUGGUCACAAUGGAAGGACUACAAGGGAACAGGUAAAAGGAAUAAGGGCACAGUCUUUAGUUUUGAUUCUUUAGAGCAAAGGAAGGGGCAGAAUGACAGAUGAAUCCUGGCUUUGGAAGUAGAAGUACUCAAUUUCCUCAUCAUAGUUGGGCAAUCUGGACAGAAAGGGUAUUAAAUGGGCAAAGUCAAAGAAUUGGAAGACUCUCCUUGAAACAAAAGACCAGGUAAUCCUGUAGGGAACAUUUUAAGCUAGAUUAGUCCAGGAAGUGAUAAAAAAAAUGAACGUAAAGAAAUAAUGCAAUGUAGUAUUUCUAGGGAAAAUUCAGGAAAUGAUUAAAAGUCAGUUUAAUUAUUAAUAAAUUAUCAAAUUAAAAAAUAAUAAUCAAUAAAUAUUUAAUGUCUAAUGCUGAAAUCUGUUUGCAUGACUUCAAGUGUAUAAUUGAUAAAUUGCUUGCCUUCCCAAAGGGUAGGGGAAGGAUAUAAAUGAGGGAGAGAAUUUAGAACCCAAAAAUAAAACAAAAAAGGGAAAAAUAAAUUGAAAAUUCAGUAGACAUUCAUUAAGCAACUACUAUGUGUAAAUUAUAUUAAACAUAGGCAACAAAUGGAACCAUUUGUACCUUUCUAUAGAUAGUACUCUGUUUUGGGAUACAAAAAAACAUGCAAAUAUAAUUAAGUAGACAAUAAACAUUUAUUAAGUGCCUUCUGUGUACCAGGCUGGAGAUAAAAAGACAGGCAAAAGAUAGUCCCUCUUCUCAAAUUGCUCACAGUCUAAUGGAAGUAGGACACAACCUGGGGGAAAAAAGAGAGUACUAACCAUUAGGGAGGUUAAGGAAAGCUUAGCAAGAAGUACAGCCAAGAAGUUAAGGAUUUUAAGAGAAAUGAGGCAGCCUUCAAACACAGAACCAGGAGACGGAACUCCAAGUUCCAGGAAGAGCUAGUAUUCUAGUUUCUUUAUAAGAGUGAGAGAAAUGGGUAAAUAAGAAAUAACAACAGAAAGGCAGGUUAGAAUCAGAUUAUGGAGGGCUAUAAAUGUCAGGCUUAAUAGCUUGUAAUUGUAAUUGCCUCUUAUAAGAGACAAUAGGGAGCCAUGGAAAAUUCCUGAGCAUGGUUAUGAUCCAUGCUUAAAGGAAAUUAUUUUGUCAAAGCAAAGAAAAAAAGAACCUAACUAUAUUAAUACAGAUGACCCAAGAAACUUUUAAAAAAGCAUUGAAGGUCCUGGUUCAUAAUCACAGUAAAAGAGUAGUAGCUUGAGGGAUAUGUGAGGAAAAAUUUCUUUUUAGAAUAUGGAACUUCACUGGCCUAGAUUAGACCAGAGGAAUGAAAAUUAUGUACGUAAAAGAAUAUGUGUCUAUGCUAAAGAUAUAUAAACUCACCUUUUGGAUCAGGUUAUUAGGAGUAGGCUGGCAGAAACACACCUCCCCCAAUAAAAACAACAAAAAUCCCUACAAAAACAUAUUCCAAAAGGGAAUGGAAUGAUGUGUCUAGCAGAUGCUCAGUAAAUAUCUGUUGAUGUAUAAAUGAAGGAAUUUAUGACUAGGAGCUUGAUAUCAAAAUUAACUGGGGAAUACUGAGCAUUCUUCAAACACUUUACCACAGUGUUACUGAUUUAUGAAUAAAUAAGUUAUUUCUAGAAAACAAUGCAUUAUUGGGGAGGAGGAGGUGUCUUCUCCAACCAUAUGUAAACCUCAAAAUUUCUCAGACUUAUGAAUGUUAAGGGUUUCCCCCAUUGGGGAAUCUUCUACUUAAAAAAAUUCCCUAGCAGAUGGUGAGAACUCUACUUGAGUGUGGGAGCUCCUUGCCUUGGGAAUAUCCCUACUCCACCCUACUUAGGACUGCUUUAGGACAGAGAGCUCCUUGAGAACAAUGAAAAGUACUUUGAUCCAUGCUUAUGGAAGGGACAGGAAGUUCUUUGAGUCAUGACUGUUUUAGAAUUGAUACAAUGAGAUACUAAGUACCUAUAAAGGUGAGGCAACUUGAAAACUACUUAAACCUAAAAGGGUGAUAACUUAUUCAGAGGUUUUUUCUAAUGAAAUUUGUCGACACAGCAGCAUUUUUUUCCUGACUUACUAAAGAGAUUAAAACUACUCAGCUGUGAAUUCAAAAUGGGAGGUCCUUUAGAAACAUCUACAGUGAUUGGUAGAUGUAAGGACUUAGGGGAGGUGACAGAGAAGAUUUUGCCCUUAAGAAUAAGAGCUCAGGGAAUAGCUAAAAAGUCAUUCUGAAACAUUCAGAUUGGAGAGACUCAUUCUGAGGAGACUGAUUCUGAAACAUUCAGAUGGAAGAGGGAGCUGGUGAAAGCAGCUGAGAUGCUGCUGACCUGGUGUCAUUAGAAAUCCUUACUUAUAAACAUAAAGAAGGAUACCAUAAGUAAAUUGGGUAAACACAGAAUAGUAUACAUGUCAGACCUUUGGGAGGGGAAAGGCUUUAAAACCAAGCAAGAUAUAGAAAGAAUCACAAAAUGUAAAAUAAAUAAUUUUGACUACAUCAAACUAAAAAGCUUUUGUACAAACAAAACCAAUAUAACUAAAAUCAGAAGGGAAACAACAAAUUGGGAAAAAAUCUUCAUAGAAACCUCUGACAAAGGUUUAAUUACUCAUAUUUAUAAUGAGCUAAAUCAAUUGUACAAAAAAUCAAGCCAUUCUCCAAUUGAUAAAUGGGCAAGGGACAUGGAUAGGCAGUUCUCAGAUAAAGAAAUCAAAACUAUUAACAAGCACAUGAAGAAGUGCUCUACAUCUCUUAUAAUCAGAGAGAUGCAAAUCAAAACAACUCUCAGGUAUCACCUCACACCUAGCAGAUUGGCUAACAUGACAGCAAAGGAAAGUAAUGAAUGCUGGAGGGGAUGUGGCAAAGUAGGGACAUUGAUUCAUUGCUGG
Monodelphis domestica (gray short-tailed opossum) is the source of this 4141-nucleotide non-coding RNA. NCBI's taxonomy places the organism in Eukaryota, Metazoa, Chordata, Mammalia, Didelphimorphia, Didelphidae. The record is from RefSeq and is a predicted model, not a curated record.